AUAAGAGGUCCAGCCUGCCCAGUGAUAAAAUUCAACGGCCGCGGUACUCUGACCGCGCGAAGGUAGCAUAAUCAUUUGUUCCUUAAAUAGGGACUAGUAUCAAUGGCAUCACGAGGACUGUACUGUCUCCUUUCUCCAAUCAGUGAAACUAAUCCCCCCGUGAAGAAGCGGGGAUACAACUAUAAGACGAGAAGACCCCAUGGAGCUUUAGGCAAUGUAUUCACCUCAACCUUAACAAUAUCAAAAUAGCAUCAGAGCCUGACUACAAGCCUUAGGUUGGGGCGACCGCGGAGUAUAACAAAACCUCCACGACAAAACCACACCUUAUCCACGAGCCACAACUCUAAGAAUUAAUAUAUUAAUGUCCAAUGACCCGUCAAUUCGAUCAACGAACCAAGUUACCCUGGGGAUAACAGCGCAAUCUGCUUCGAGAGCCCCUAUCGACAAGCAGGUUUACGACCUCGAUGUUGGAUCAGGGUAUCCCAGUGGUGCAACCGCUACUAAAGGUUCGUUUGUUCAACGAUUAAAACCCUAC
This 535-nucleotide ribosomal RNA is filed under the name Hylarana serendipi (Sri Lankan golden-backed frog). Its description in RNAcentral is "partial 16S ribosomal RNA". It matches the Rfam family "Bacterial large subunit ribosomal RNA", at positions 1845 to 2599 of the family's 2925-position model. Lineage: Eukaryota; Metazoa; Chordata; Amphibia; Anura; Ranidae. The record is from RNAcentral.